This 22-nucleotide non-coding RNA is filed under the name Arabidopsis thaliana (thale cress). The record is from RNAcentral. RNAcentral also lists the same sequence under 2 other names. Lineage: Eukaryota; Viridiplantae; Streptophyta; Magnoliopsida; Brassicales; Brassicaceae.
GGGGAUGUAGCUCAGAUGGUAG